Molecule: non-coding RNA, 397 nt
Organism: Pelobates cultripes (western spadefoot toad)
Lineage: Eukaryota; Metazoa; Chordata; Amphibia; Anura; Pelobatidae
Source: the annotation of a GenBank genome assembly
GGGCAGCACAAAACCAGGAUACACCACUGGGUGUGUGUCUGUGUAUCAAAGUGUGUGUAUCUGUGUUUGUAUGUGCCAGUGUGUGUAUCUGUGUGUCAGUGUGUAUGGUGUCUGCUGUUGAUUAAAAUGCAUGUAUAUGUUACAAGUUUUAUUCUUUGAUCUUUUCCCCCCCAGCUAUUCUAAAACAUUCUGUAAGAAGUGACCAGUUAGGGUGGGUAGGUUAGGAGCAUGCCUUGACUGUUUUCGAGACAGGAUGGCUUGGGAAAACACAUACUCGCAUGGUUACACCUAGAUGUUAAUUACUCUGAUGUUCUGAUCUCCUGAUAACAUGAUUCUUGCAACCUUUAUAUUAAAGAUGUACACAAUAUUUCUUACAUAUGUGUUGGUAAUUAAGCAC